RNAcentral lists this long non-coding RNA (952 nucleotides) under Nicotiana tabacum (common tobacco). RNAcentral's name for it is "long non-coding RNA (NTAB_LNC004445)". Lineage: Eukaryota; Viridiplantae; Streptophyta; Magnoliopsida; Solanales; Solanaceae. The record is from RNAcentral.
CUUGAUAUAACAAUUUAAAAUCCAUUCUGGAAGUGAAAGUUGAAGAAACAGAAGCAAGACUUCAAACAUUGGAACAAAGCUAACAUUUAGAUUACAUCUCAUUUUGUCUUUGGUCUUAAAGCCAAAAACGAUAGAAGCAGAAGACAAUUUCGUUCCAAUUUCAAGGAAAUUCAAGUGUAAAUUUCAUCCAUAUUUCGCAGAAGCAGAUUCGUUCAACUAAUUCAAGAAACAGGUAUGUUAAAGCCAUCCCUUAUUUCUUUCGGCAUGAUCCGAAUUAUACUGAAGAAAUGAGCAAAUGCACAGUUUUCAUAAAUUACUCUAUUCAUAGAGAUACUAGGGGUGUCUAUAUUCUUGAUUCCCCGUGAAAAAUAUUAUUAUCUUCUGUUCAUGGGUAUUAGAAUAAUACACAGUUGAAAAAGUUUAUCCGGAAGGAAUAUUGAGAUUAUUACGUAUUUUUCAUGCAUUUCACUCAUUUAUACAUGUGCAUUGACCUAUGACCAAAUGGCGUUAUAUGCGCGUAUAUAUGUAAAUAUAUGUCUAUGGGAUAUGGGAAUAGGUUACGAUGUUAUAUACACACCACCACCUGAUAAGCUCGUAUAUGUUGAUGAUGUUGCCCACAGUGACCGAGAUGAUAUGAUGGGAUGCCCUCAGUGGCUUGAUGAUAUUAUGUACACUCAUACCUAUGCAUGACACGAUAUUUAUGUGCAUCUGCAUGACGUUAUAAACGUUUCAGAAAUUACAAAGUUAUUCAAAUUUAAAGAUUUGUUUCAUUUUUCCAUGUUUCAUCUAUGUCUUUUACGUACUAAUUUUCACGUCUUACAUACUCAGUACAUUUUUCGUAUUGAUGCCCUAUUUCACGGGGCCUGCGUUUCAUGCCCGCAGGUGCAGGUAGGCAAGCUAACGGUCCCCCUCCUUAGGAUCCCUGAUCAGCGAGAAUUGGCGUGCUCCACUU